GACGGAGGAUGCAAGUGUUAUCCGGAAUCACUGGGCGUAAAGCGUCUGUAGGUGGUUUAAUAAGUCAACUGUUAAAUCUUGAGGCUCAACCUCAAAAUCGCAGUCGAAACUAUUAGGCUAGAGUAUAGUAGGGGUAAAGGGAAUUUCCAGUGGAGCGGUGAAAUGCGUAGAGAUCAGGAAGAACACCGGUGGCGAAAGCGCUCUGCUGGACCUUAACUGACACUGAGGGACGAAAGCUAGGGGAGCGAAUGGG
RNAcentral lists this ribosomal RNA (253 nucleotides) under uncultured bacterium. RNAcentral describes it as "partial 16S ribosomal RNA". It matches the Rfam family "Bacterial small subunit ribosomal RNA", at positions 524 to 776 of the family's 1533-position model. The record is from RNAcentral.